This 31-nucleotide non-coding RNA is filed under the name Rattus norvegicus (Norway rat). The record is from RNAcentral. Lineage: Eukaryota; Metazoa; Chordata; Mammalia; Rodentia; Muridae.
UAGGCCACAUAGUUUAAGACCUUGUGUCUUA